This is a non-coding RNA of Datura stramonium (jimsonweed), 82 nucleotides long. Lineage: Eukaryota; Viridiplantae; Streptophyta; Magnoliopsida; Solanales; Solanaceae. The record is from the annotation of a GenBank genome assembly.
GGAAGAGUGACCGAGUGGUCAAAAGCGGCAGACCGUAAAUCUGUUGAACUUUUUCUACGUAGAUUUGAAUCCUACCUUUCCU